GAUGAAGAACGCAGUGAAAUGCGAUAAGUAGUGUGAAUUGCAGAAUUCAGUGAAUCAUCGAAUCUUUGAACGCACAUUGCGCCCUUUGGUAUUCCAAAGGGCAUGCCUGUUCGAGCGUCAUUUGUACCCUCAAGCUUUGCUUGGUGUUGGGCGUCUUGUCUCUAGCUUUGCUGGAGACUCGCCUUAAAGUAAUUGGCAGCCGGCCUACUGGUUUCGGAGCGCAGCACAAGUCGCACUCUCUAUCAGCAAAGGUCUAGCAUCCACUAAGCCUUUUUUUCAACUUUUGACCUCGGAUCAGGUAGGGAUACCCGCUGAACUUAAGCAUAUCAAUAGCGGAGGA
This 340-nucleotide unclassified non-coding RNA is filed under the name soil metagenome. Its description in RNAcentral is "partial contains 5.8S ribosomal RNA, internal transcribed spacer 2, and large subunit ribosomal RNA". The stretch from base 1 to 120 matches the Rfam family "5.8S ribosomal RNA", at positions 35 to 154 of the family's 154-position model. The record is from RNAcentral.